RNAcentral lists this long non-coding RNA (997 nucleotides) under Homo sapiens (human). Its description in RNAcentral is "non-protein coding MIR124-2HG:4". The record is from RNAcentral. Lineage: Eukaryota; Metazoa; Chordata; Mammalia; Primates; Hominidae.
AAAGGCAGUGAGCGUCUUUCCUUGGGCUGCGUGUGCCGAGCGUAGACAAUGAAAAUCUUCAUCCCCCUCCCCCAUUCUACUAGGCUACAAGAUUCUUGUUUUCGUUCCUUCUCACCGGUGGAAGAUGUGUAAAAUCAAAGAUGUAGAGGUGUGUAGUGAUUUUUUUAAAAGCCAACUAACCACCGCACGGACUGCGACGCGGAUUACCCGAGCGCACGCCGGCUGGGCGCAUUCUGGGGUCUCUGCGCAAGACCAGCUCUCAGCUCUCUCUCCUUUCCUCGGACUCUGGAGCGGGAGCGGGCCUUUCCCUCGGGUCGACCACGCCGUAGGGGACGCCGUGAAAAGAGCCGUCGCGCCCGCUGCCUCCUGCCCGCUGCGCAGAGGGCUCCGCCCGUAGAGGUCAACUUCCCUCACCCUUUUCUCUCUCCUGCUUGCCCUCCCUCCGCCCGGCCCAGGCGCUUCCAGCCCCAGACUGUGGCCACUGGCUGAGGAGUGCGAGUCGGCUGCGCUGCCCUGAGCCUAAUCCCUCUUCCGGGCCCAGACCCGAGGUCCGCGCUCCUGGGCAGUGGGGAAGCUUUAGUGAGCAGGCUUUUCUCUCCGCAGCAAACUUGUAGCCAGACCAGAUGGGCCGCCCAGCUCUCUCGGGACUAGGCAGGUGCGGAUGAGUUAAUUUUUCCGCAUUACAAAGAAAGAUGACCCAGCCCGCCCUUGGACUCUCUUUUCCCAAAAUCUCCCAACCAAACCCGCGGUAACGUUAUCAAAGGACACAGAGCCCAGGCAUAUCUGUGUGUUUAUCUUACAGGCACACACGCAUGGUUUUCUCUUUUAUAUGCUAGAUUUCAUCCCUGACAGCAGAAAAUGAUUGGCAAUGGUUAUGACGGAGAACAUGCAAUAGCGUGGUCCUUAAAAACCUGCCAUUCCUUACAAGUGCCUUAGAAAGGAUUCAGGGCGAACCAACUGGGUUAAUUGCAUUCAGUAAAAUAACACGAUUACAAAA